CUAUUACUCUGGCUAGGGUGUCGACCCUGACGCACGGCAACGUCCUUGACGCGUCGUAUGCCCAAUCCCCAAGUCUCUCUCGUUAUCAACUAAAGGCGUUGGCCGUCUGCUUCAAGGACUGGAAGAAGGUAAACGCAAUCGCACUAUCCGAAAACUGUACAUUGGUGGCAUUUGACGUCAGCUAUUUUGCACAUUCCGAAACUUCCAUUUUUGUUCGUGUCUUUCGAUACUAUGUGGAAAACUGAGUUCUACCGCCCUGAGCUGCUAGGAAUAGGUAAAUCUGCCGGCGUUUAUCGAGGAAAGUGUAAUAGUAAAGAUUGCGCAGUGAAAAGAGUUCAACGAGAAAAAGUCAAAGAAUGCGAAGAAAAGGUUAUGGAAAAUUUGAAAGGUCAUCCAAACAUCGUCGAGCUUCUCUAUUGUGAAACAGUAGGAGAAUUCGUUCACUACGUAUUGGAAUUGUGUGUGACCUCAUUAGAAAAGCUAUUCCUGAAACCGGAUGACCCCAAAAGAUACAAAGGACCGCCCAUGCCAUCAAUUAGCUUUAGGUCUCGAGUACAUCCAUUCGAAGAACUUAAUUCAUCGAGACAUUAAACCGGAAAACAUCCUUAUCUCGGUGCGAGGCGCCGGCCAAGACGCCAAGAUAACAAUCAAGUGGGCAGACUUUGGGCUGUCCAGAGAAGUGAAUAAAGGGGGAAGCUUCUCGACCAACGGUGGAGUUAUAGUAAUAACAUAGUAAUUCCAGACACAAAUUGACGGAGAAUCGCGAAAGUCUUACGCCGAUGACUUACUAGAAAAAAUGUUAGUAGACGAACCCAGAGAAAGGAUGACAUCGACAGAAGUCAUCACACAAUUGGAAAGUGUAAUGAAAAAUGAGAGCUUAUCUUCUUCUGUUCAGCUUGAAGACUACAUCAAAGCCAUAAUUCGUCCCAGAAUAGACGUGCACGCCGAACAAAACACAAUCGUCAACCCAGAAAAGGCUUUGAAAUAUAUGCAAGGAUUCGAAAUUCAGUUGGAGCGUAGGGCUGAAUUAGGAAUGGAGGCCUUUAGCUCCGUGUUCAGAGGCGAGUUUAAAAGCCGUCCAGUCGCAGGAAAAAGAAUUGCAAUCUAUCACAACAUAAUAGAAAAAGAAGCUAUGCUGACGCUAGACCACCCAAUUGUUGUCAAACUUUGCAUUGUGAAAGUGAUGACGACUUCAGGUACUUUGCAUUGGAAUUGUGCGCUGCUUCACUAGAUCAGCUGUUUCUACAGUCGAAUGAUCCCAGAAAAUACAACAGACCUGUGCCACGUCAAAUCGAAGUUUUUCGCCAAUUAGCUUUAGGUCUCGAACACAUCCAUUCAAAACAUCUCAUUCACAGAAAUAUUAAACCUAGCCAUGCCCUCAUUAUGCGGAGUUCUAGCCGAAAUGAAGAGACAAUAAUCAAAUGGGCUGAUUUCGGACUGUCUAGACCCGUAAGCGAAGGAAGACGUACACGUUGAGUGAUGGAGUAAAAGGAACAAGAAAUUGAUUCGCACCCGAGCAGCUGAAACAGUUGACAAACGCGCAAACGGAAUGUAUGCUUCGAUGCACGGUCAAGAGCGAAGUGUUCUCCCUAGGCCUAGUCUUUGGCUAUGAAUGGAAAACAUCUCUACGGUUCCAACCCACUUGAAAUUCAUAACAACGUAAUCGGAGACAAUCCGAUCAACAUGCAACCAAUUGACGGCAAGGUGCGGGAAUCUUAUGCAGCUGACUUAUUUAAAAAAAUGUUAUAAAGCGAUCCUAGCCAAAGCAUGACAUCGACAGAAGUCGAAAAACUAAAAUCACCUCGAAUGGCCAACCAUAAAUGUCAAGCGAGUAGGCUAUUAACUGAGAGACGCAGUUGACAAUAGCGUGGUGGAAAUCACGCCAUGAAUGAUAGAUCUGUGCUUUGUCACCAUUGAAUAAUGAAUAAGCCUUAACUUAAAA
Daphnia magna is the source of this 1942-nucleotide long non-coding RNA. RefSeq lists it as uncharacterized. The transcript has 5 exons. NCBI's taxonomy places the organism in Eukaryota, Metazoa, Arthropoda, Branchiopoda, Diplostraca, Daphniidae. The record is from RefSeq and is a predicted model, not a curated record.